UCCGACCUCAGAUCGGACGAG
This 21-nucleotide ribosomal RNA is filed under the name Conus laterculatus. RNAcentral describes it as "partial 28S ribosomal RNA". Lineage: Eukaryota; Metazoa; Mollusca; Gastropoda; Neogastropoda; Conidae. The record is from RNAcentral.